GGGGGCGACUUGGUUUCGACGUGGGUUGCAAAACCUAAGGGGCAUGUCGAGGGGCAGAUACCUCGUAAAUACUCUGCAAAACAAUCUAGUUGCGAACGACGACAACUACGCUUUAGCUGCUUAGGCGGCUAAACUGUUACCCAGAUAAGCCUGCGUGUUUGGAGUAGCAGUCACUUUAGUAGGAUCGUGAAUUCAUGCGUCUAGGGUGGAUUCAUUAAACUUUACUUGGACUCACUGCUGUAUUUUCCUGCCCGUCGGAGAAUCAGUGGCUAAAUUGAAGACUAGGGCUAAACAUGUAGUCCCAAGGGCGGAGGAUUUACGGACGCGAGUUCGAUUCUCGCCGCCUCCACCA
This 352-nucleotide transfer-messenger RNA is filed under the name Beggiatoa alba. RNAcentral's name for it is "Standard tmRNA". It matches the Rfam family "transfer-messenger RNA". Rfam says of the family: Bacterial tmRNA, also known as 10Sa RNA or SsrA, is named for its dual tRNA and mRNA-like properties. Its role is to liberate the mRNA from a stalled ribosome. To accomplish this part of the tmRNA is used as a reading frame that ends in a translation stop signal. The record is from RNAcentral. RNAcentral also lists the same sequence under 1 other name. Lineage: Bacteria; Pseudomonadati; Pseudomonadota; Gammaproteobacteria; Thiotrichales; Thiotrichaceae.